This is a non-coding RNA of Ictidomys tridecemlineatus (thirteen-lined ground squirrel), 72 nucleotides long. The record is from Rfam. NCBI's taxonomy places the organism in Eukaryota, Metazoa, Chordata, Mammalia, Rodentia, Sciuridae.
GGGGGUGUAGCUCAGUGGUAGAGCACUUGCCUAGGAUGUGUGAGGCACUGGGUUCGAUUCUCAGCACUGCAU